CCAUGAGGUCGUUUUCAAGAAGUGCAGCCGACUCUGGGUUGCUGCAGAUGUUUGAAGGCUGCAGUUGUGGAGGAGACGUUUGAGACUGGGUAAUGAUUUCAAGAGCAAAGCGGAUGUAACAACCUCCUUACGUCCCCUGGAAGAAUGCAAGGCAGCACAAGGUAGUGCUUAACACUAUCACUGUUUGUCCUCCUGAUAGAAGAAUCCAGAUGGAAAGAAGUGUGGUUCACAGGGAGAUCGUCAUGACGUACGCAGGAAUGGCUACCAACAGACCGUGGGCGAUCCUCGACGCCGAUUAGGACAUGGCUUUGUUGGUUACUCCUAAUCUCUCAGGAUCCUGCUGCCCUCCCACCUGCCAUUGAAGACACUGUCUAAAUGGCUUCCACAAACUUCAACUAAUGUCCUCAGUUAUUGUACUGGAAAAUAAAAUCAAGACAAGGUUCCACUGGCAUUUUACAUGACUGCCAUCAGGUGAUACUGUGGCUUUGUGACUGGUUUUCAGGCUUGAACGGGGGAGAGCAAAUUGUGCCCAGCACAUGUAUAUGGCACCUGAACACAUGAGCUAAGUGCAUCUUGAAGAAGGCUGAUGCAAAAGCGUGCAGUUCCUGCUUGCAGUCUACUGCACUCCAGCUUCCUGCUGGAAGGACCUGCCUCUGCCAUAAACCUCCUCUCUCCACAGGCACACGCUGAGCAAUUUGGCCUUUCCCUGCCCUGCUAAGGCAGUGGAAAGCAGUGCCUGAGGCAUACUGACUUCGGUGGGUUUUUUGUCGCAUUGGACUGUGCUGCAUGGAUCCACGACUGGAUUAGAAUUUGCAGUUCCAGAUGCUGCUGCAGAGGAGCCAAGGGACUGUCUCCAAAUCCUACUCCACCAACGUGAGUAGCUAAGACUUUGCCUAGGGCUCCAGGCUGCCUCUUAUUUGUGAGGCAAAGCUCUUUUGUGAAAUAACCUUUUCCCUGUUCCUAAAUGAUUAGAAUUGCCCGUGAGCAUCCUUGGCAAGAUUUCCUGACUGCAUUAGAACCCAGUUAAUCAAUAUAUCAAACCAGUAGCAAGGAGAAAAAAUUGAUUUGAUUAUCACUUCACGAUUCACCAUAAGAUAACAAGUUAAUUUUCAGGCAGAGUGGCAGCAUGAAUUUCAAAUACUGUUGCUAUAUUCAAAAUCAUGUUGGUUUAAGUACCAAUCAACUGACAACAGGAAAAGUAAUGUCCUCAAAACAGCUUAAAACUAAUUUGUAUCAAUUAAGCCUAUCCAUCAGUGUAAGCUAAGCUCCUCCUACUUGAUGUCAAACCAGGGAUGAUUCAAAUCACAGAACUAAUUUGGGAUAAUUUGAAGGGAGUGUGAACUGGUGAGUUCAAACUUACAAAGUGCUUUGAAGAUCUGACAUCUUUCUUUUAAUGUCCUCAACAUAAUACAUAAUAUACAUUAGCUUCCUGAAAACAUACUUACACGAGACAAGCUCAGUGGGUUUGCUGACCCACAGACUGUGGAUAGAACUGCACAGAGCUGAUUCUCCUGGUGCGGGUCUUCAGGCUGCCACAGCUUCCUGUAGCAUUGCAAUGUUUAGCAGGAUAGUGAAAGAGGAAUGUUUCUGUAGUAGUGCCUAGCCUCUUAAGAAAUUGCCCUGGCCACAGCACCAGGCCUGAAACACAAGAACCUUUUCACAUGAGAACUGUUGCCCAAGUGGGGAAGCCUGUCAUGUUACCCUUUCAAGUAAAGGGGACUCAAAGGUACAGAGCAUCUGGAUGCAGUUACUGAACUUGCCUCUGGCAUUAGCAAAAAAACAGUAACAGACUUGGUCCACAUUAGUCACUCCGGCGGAGUGAUCUGGCAGAAGGCACCCUGACAGGCACAGCAGCUCCACAGCUCACACUGUUGGCUGUGCUAGACAUGGAGGAACUGAGCUGUGAGAAUUAAUUCAGGUACAGUUGUAUUUAAUUUCUUCCUUGAGGCAUCAUUUUUUUCAUUUUUUCUCAACAUGCACCAAUCCUAGGAAGCUGCACAUGCGCAGCGGCGAGGGUGGCUGAGGCUCAGGACAGUGAAUGCAAAUGGGUUUCCUCUUUCAGCAGUGUUUCUUCUGCUGUAGCUGAACAUCCAAGUUUCGCAGGUGCUUCAGAAAGCCACGAUUGGGUGAAAUCCAACGAUGUUCCUUCACUGUUUUGAUGGCUUCAACCAGUCGGAGGUGGUGCUUGAUCAUGAGAUAUGCUAGGACUAGGGAAGCUGACCUGCUCACUCCAACUGCACAAUGCACCAAGACUUUAGCUGGUUAAGGGGAAAAAAGCAGUACAGUGGAUGAAAUUUAAUUGAAAGGGAAGGCAAACUGACUCUGCCUUCUCCAGCCUGGUCAGAGUAACACUGCAAACUUGAUGUGUUUCUCACUCUUCUGAUAGAUCACACGAAGAGCUAACAGUUGAGUCUAAUUUGCAAUUGCUACACUCACUUUUAUGAGAAGUGCCAUGAAUGCCCAACCUGAUCUCAGGAACACUGGUAAAUUAUGGUAAAUUAAAGGAAACCCUGCUGAAAGCAAAGAAAUUGUUCUUCAUUGUUCUGAGAACGAUGCUAUGAGAAAGAGGAAAAUAACACCCACUGAAUUCAGAGGGGCUUACUUACAUGAAGAAUAAUGCUGGCCUGAAAUGAUGGCACUAACACAGUAGCCAACGAGGGAAAUGAUUGGCCUAGGACCAUUGCAUAAUACAGCAAUUUGCUGCAACUGUAGUUCUCUUUUGACAGCAGAAGGUGUGCCACAGAGUGAGACAUCUCAAUUAAUGGCAGUUUACUCCUGAUAAGAAAUUGAUUUUUAUGUAAUACAGGUUAAUUAGUAUUUUACUGCACCAGUGUCAAGAAGCUCAGUGUUUAGUGCAACACACUAUAAAUCCCCAUGGAGGCACAGCCCUGCAGGCCCUGCUCACACGGGAAGAUCAUCUGCAAUGUAUGUUCCUCUUCUUGCAGUUCAUGGUUGUAGAAAUCAGAACUGUUGUCUCUUCUUUUGUUCUUACAAAUAUAGUUGCCAUAAGGAGGUCUCAAAAGAGGGUUUCCAUUUUAAGUCCUCCCUCUUUAAGCAAGCCUUUCCUUCCAGGUAUUUUUUUCUCUGCCUCCUUCUCUCUCUGCCUGCACUGUUCAUCCCCUUUCUCACAUCAGAUUUUUGGGACCUAAUUAGAGCUACAUCCAUGUAUAUCCCAGUACUCCCUCCUCAUGGUACAGGUGGCCAAAGCUGCCAGGUCCACCAGUGAGCUCAUGGCGCUAACCUGUUACGAGAGUCCACCAACUCACAGAAAAAUCAGGGAUACAAUGAUUUCAUACCUCCUGGCGUGUUCAAGGCAUUGUGGAUAAAGUGUGCUGCAGAGAAAAAGAACUGGCUUAUAUCAAAGCUGGGGAGGUCAUGGGCUGGCACACCAUAAUAACCGAUCGUUGCACCGUAGAAGUCCUGGCCUCCGUGGCUGUAUGUUGUGCCGUGGGCAGCAUUUAAAACAUGGGUCACACCCAUCUUCCACAGAACAAAUCUGUUGUGAGCUGUUACUCUAAGGAAAAGACAAAGACCUCAAGUCCCCACUUGGAUCACUGAAUACAGCAUAGCCACUGCUGAAAACAGAGCAGAGAAUGUGAGUGGAACUGCUGCCAGGUGAAACUUGUAAGCUGCUGAGUUUAUACAGGAAGGUCUUGUGAGCCACAGGCUAGAGACCUAUCGUUAGUGGCCGUUUUGGGGUACGGCAGUGCCUGUGCUUCUGGUCUGCAGGAUGUGACUCCUGGUAGGAGGCUGCAAACUUGUCAGUGAGGAGCUACAGGAGCAAACACAUGAAGUGCCAAUUUCCUUUGUAAGCUUAGCAACUCAUCUGCAGAGUCCUGGCUCCUCUACCAAUGCAGUCCAGCAGAGAAUGUGACCCACGAAGAGAAGUUUGCUGAUGAUAUUAUCUCCUGCAGUAAAAAGGUGAUGAACAGAAAGAAACCUUGGCCAGGUCUGAACCAGCUUUAUUUCACAUGCAUUCAUUUAUUACGAUAGAGAAAGGGUUAGCUUUAUUUUGUUUUAUCAAGAGACAUAGCAUUCAGGGCUGCUUGAAAUCAGGUAUUGAAGCCUGGGAUGAUUAAUUAUGCUUAGGAGUACUCAGAGUGAUGGAUUACCCUAAUACAAGGCAACACUUUCUAGCAUCUGAGGGCAAAAGUUACAUACAUGAAGAAAAGAAAAAAGGACUUUGUUUAGAGUCUUGCCUGAAUUAGAAACUGCUAACAUUUUGUUGAUUUAAAGAAGAAACUGAUUAAAAGCCUCUUGUGCACAAAGAGACUCUUAGUUCCUGGUGCUAUAUACAUGUUCUGGCCUAAGAGGUGAAAUAAGGUACACUGCAAGCAACAAUGGGCAGGCAGUGGGACAGGCAUCCAAGCUCUGCUGUCAGUGAGGCUAUCAACUGACCAGAUCCAGCAGAGGAAAGGACUGCAAAAAUGGUUGAAGUUAUACUUAAAGCACUAUGUAUAUGUAUUUAAUGUAUUACCUUGUUUUUCUGCUUUGGGGGUGUUUAUUUUUCUCUCUGUGGUAAAUGUGUGCUUUCUCAGCUGACUGAUCUGUGCUCAUGAAUGAGGAAAACUGAGAAAGUGCAGUUGUUCAUUUAGUUUACUUCUCUCAGGUUUCUGGUUGGAGGCUCAAGGCUUUACUAGCAGGUGUUUCUUACAUGUAAGCCCAACCCAUUUGUGGCCAGGUUCCCCCAGAAAGGUGACAUGUUUAAGUUUGGCCCUUUUCAGCUGUAAAGCAUUACUGACCUCUGCCCCAAAUACACUUUGAAUUCAGACCUUGUCUGUGAGAUGAAAGCUGAUGAGCAGCAAAACAUCACCUCCACGCCCCAUGUGCCUCCAGCAAUUGUAUAGCAUAUGCCCAUCUGUUUCAGAAUUGUGGCCUUCCGCACCCACAGCCUUCUAAGCAUUUAAUAGUCUGUAAAUGAGACUCAUGUGAAGCUGUGAUAGUGACCUCCCUGCCCCAGGAGCUGUCUUUGAAACAGACAGAAGGCAGAGAUGUGGCUUUCAGACCAGCUCUGUGCUUAUGCACUAAGCCACAACCAGUGUCUUUUCCUGCUUCGUGUUCUCUCGCCUGUCAUUUCGAGUGCGGCGCUGGGCCCAGAUGCCUCAGCAUUCCUCUCUUUCCAUGGGUUUACAAAGGAUUUGGUCAUCAGGCCUGUGGAUCAACACAGGACAGUCAGGCUCUCUGCUGCCAAUGCGUGUCUUGACUUGAAACUCUCAGGAAGCUGGAGAUCCCUCUCAGCAGAAGUGCUGACCUCUGUAACUAGAGCUUUAUUCCGUAGUGUCCUUGCUCCUGUGGGACUUUACUUUGUCCACAAAUCUCUGACUUUGUGAAGAAUUGUUUUAUUUAAGCUUAUGUGAGUGUAGACUAAAUACAAA
Pogoniulus pusillus (Red-fronted tinkerbird) is the source of this 5375-nucleotide long non-coding RNA. RefSeq lists it as uncharacterized. The record is from RefSeq and is a predicted model, not a curated record. NCBI's taxonomy places the organism in Eukaryota, Metazoa, Chordata, Aves, Piciformes, Lybiidae. The transcript is spliced from 6 exons.